GAGUUUGAUCCUGGCUCAGGAUGAACGCUAGCGGCAGGCCUAAUACAUGCAAGUCGAGGGGUAUAGGAGGCUUGCUUCCUAGAGACCGGCGCACGGGUGCGUAACGCGUAUGCAACCUACCCUUUUCUGGGGGAUAGCCCGAAGAAAUUCGGAUUAAUACCGCAUAAGACCACGAUACGGCAUCGUAAUGGGGUCAAACAUUUAUGGGAGAAGGAUGGGCAUGCGUGCCAUUAGCUAGUUGGCGGGGUAACGGCCCACCAAGGCGACGAUGGCUAGGGGAUCUGAGAGGAUGACCCCCCACACUGGUACUGAGACACGGACCAGACUCCUACGGGAGGCAGCAGUAAGGAAUAUUGGUCAAUGGGGGGCAACCCUGAACCAGCCAUGCCGCGUGCAGGAAGACGGCCCUCUGGGUUGUAAACUGCUUUUAUUCGGGAAUAAACCUACCUACGUGUAGAUAGCUGAAUGUACCGAAGGAAUAAGGAUCGGCUAACUCCGUG
Molecule: ribosomal RNA, 500 nt
Filed under: uncultured Sphingobacteriaceae bacterium
Lineage: Bacteria; Pseudomonadati; Bacteroidota; Sphingobacteriia; Sphingobacteriales; Sphingobacteriaceae
Description: bacterial SSU rRNA
Rfam family: Bacterial small subunit ribosomal RNA
Source: RNAcentral